UACAGAGGGUGCAAGCGUUGUUCGGAAUUACUGGGCGUAAAGCGCGUGUAGGUGGCGAUGUAAGUCGGGUGUGAAAUCCCUCAGCUUAACUGAGGAAGUGCACUCGAUACUGUGUCGCUUGAGUGUUGGAGGGGAUGGCGGAAUUCCCGGUGUAGAGGUGAAAUUCGUAGAUAUCGGGAGGAACACCUGUGGCGAAGGCGGCCAUCUGGACAACUCCUGACACUGAGGCACGAAAGCUAGGGGAGCAAACAGG
RNAcentral lists this ribosomal RNA (253 nucleotides) under uncultured bacterium. RNAcentral's name for it is "partial 16S ribosomal RNA". It matches the Rfam family "Bacterial small subunit ribosomal RNA", at positions 524 to 776 of the family's 1533-position model. The record is from RNAcentral.